Molecule: ribosomal RNA, 310 nt
Filed under: uncultured eukaryote
Lineage: Eukaryota
Description: partial 18S ribosomal RNA
Rfam family: Eukaryotic small subunit ribosomal RNA
Source: RNAcentral
CCCUUAGAUGUCCUGGGCCGCACGCGCGCUACACUGACGGAGCCAGCGAGCUUACCCCUUUGCCGAAAGGCAUGGGAAAUCUUUUGAAUCUCCGUCGUGCUGGGGAUAGAUCAUUGCAAUUAUUGAUCUUGAACGAGGAAUUCCUAGUAAGCGCAAGUCAUCAACUUGCGUUGAUUACGUCCCUGCCCUUUGUACACACCGCCCGUCGCUACUACCGAUUGAAUGGUUUAGUGAGGCCUUCGGAUCCGCGACUCGUUUUGUGGAGAAGUUGGACAAACUCAGUCAUUUAGAGGAAGUAAAAGUCGUAACA